This 274-nucleotide ribosomal RNA is filed under the name uncultured bacterium. Its description in RNAcentral is "partial 16S ribosomal RNA". It matches the Rfam family "Bacterial small subunit ribosomal RNA", at positions 523 to 796 of the family's 1533-position model. The record is from RNAcentral.
AUACGAAAGGUGCAAGCGCUGUUCGGAUUUACUGGGCGUAAAGAGAGUGUAGGUGGUUUAUUAAGUCGGAUGUGAAAUCCCGGGGCUCAACCUCGGAACUGCAUUCGAUACUGAUAGGCUAGAGUUUGGGAGGGGUAAGCGGAAUUCCGUGUGUAGCAGUGAAAUGCGUAGAUAUACGGAGGAACACCUGAGGCGAAGGCGGCUUACUGGACCAAUACUGACACUGAGACUCGAAAGCGUGGGUAGCAAACAGGAUUAGAAACCCCAGUAGUCC